ACUGCCUGAGGUCAGGAAGCUGCAGGUAGCAGGGGAGCGGGUUGGCCCAGACCUCUCUGGCUGCCAAGGCAGGAGCAGUCCCCGUGUGCCACCUGGGUGUUGCUGGACCUUGGACAGUGUGGCCAGAGGAUCCGGAAGGGGUGAGGAAACCGGGGCGUGGAGAGGCUGUGUUACUUGCUCAAGGUCACAUUGCUAGCAAGUUCCAGAUCAAGAUGCAUCCCCAGGCAGUCUGGCUCCAGACUCCGUGCAUUUACCUGCAGAACCCCUCUCCAGCCAGCAUCUGACCUGUGGCCCAGGAGUGUGCACCCUCUGGCAGGGACAGGAGGUCUAAGGUCUCAAAUGGAUUUAGCAGCAGAGCCAAGACUCCAGCCCAAGUGCCUGGAUCCCAUUUCAGAGUCUGUCCCAUCAGAGCACACAGCCGGGAAGCCACCUAUGGGCAACAAGAUCUCCAAGGAAACUCCAGAACAUUCUAUGGGUUUCAGUGGUUACCUGCUGAGGCGGCAUUGGGCAUGGAGCAUCCGAGGGUCCAAGCUUCAAGCUGCUGCUGCACAGGAAGCUCCAGGUAGGUGGAAGGAGUUGGGGUCUGAAGACUGACUCACCUGUCCAGGAACCUCUGCCCAGGGGUGUAAGGACUGCCGUGGUGCAGCCUCAUGGCAUCCCCCAUUCCCCUUGCAGCAGGGCCCUGGGUGUUCAUUUCAAUCUGAUUUUUCUUUUCUUUUUUUUUUUUGAGAUGGCGUCUUGCUCUGUCACCCAGGCUGGAGUGCAGUGGUGCCAUCUUGGCUCAUGGCAAGCUCCGCCUCCCGGUUCAAGCAUCAAUCCAAUUUUUCUAAAGCAAAUGUUGGUUUCUUGGGAGAAGGUGUGGCCGGACAAUUUCCAGGAGCACAUGGCCCUAGGCAUACUGUCCCUUUGAGAUGGCCUUAGUUUGGGCAGGGAUGCUGCAGGUGGUCAAAGCUGGACCUCCCGCCCAAUGGAGGGUGUUGGGUGGCUGGCCCCCAGCUGUGUGGCAUGUGCAUUGCUGGGCCUGAGUGUGUACGUGUGUGUGUGCAUGUGUGUGUGUGCAUGCGUGUGUGUGUGUGUGUUGUUGGGGUGGGAGUGGGAAGUCAGACCUGUGUGGCAAAAACCUGAGUCUAGUGGAAGGCCUCCCCUGCCCCUACCCACCCUCCUCUCUGGCCGAGGGGGCUGAACCAUGGCUGGAGGGAGCCACGCCAGGCUGGGAUCUCCGAGGGGUCCUUGAACCACAUCUGAGCUCUGGGAAGGCUCCCCGGUGCGUGGAGAGCAGAGAGGGAGGCUCCGUGGUGAUUUACAGGCACCUCCUUUUGAUCGUCUCGCUCCCUUGGAGAGAUCCCUCCUCCACACCUGGGGGCUGCAGGGGAGGCGGGGCACAGGGGGUUCUCAGCUGGCCCGGGGCAGCAGGGUCUGGUGUCCCUGGGAUACAGGAAGCUUCCUUCUCUCUGGUAUGGCCUUGCUGGUACCUGGCUGCUUGUGCAUAUCACUGAGCAGCCCAGCUCCUGUCCAGCGGGGCGGGGUCCAGAGCACACCCCUGGCGCUCGGGGCUGGGCCUGCCUCCCCACACCUGGCUCUGCUUCCAUUCUUCCAGGGACAAUGCGACUGUUUCACUGGCCUCCUCUUCUGCCUGGACCCACAGGGCUUCUUCUUCCUGCCUCCCUGCCUGACAUUCCUGGACUCCACUCCAGGCGUUUGAAAGCCCUGGAUGUCCCAACAAUUUCUAUUUUUUUCCCUGGUCCUAAGGGGCCAAGAAGCCCAGAUUUCAGGCACAGUCUAGGCACGGCCUAUGGGGUGGUCAGCAGUGGGCAGGUGCAGAUGCAAAGGAGGGCAGAGGUUGCUGAGGCUGUGGAUGGCCUUGUGACAGGUCCCGAAAGGGCACCUGAGCUAGGACGCCCAGGCGGGACUGCGAGGGAGGUGGCCACUCUGGGGCAGGGUGGGGACAGCCCUCAGGACUCCUCGGGCCUGACCAUCUUUGGGAGGAACUCUAGCAUGUCCAGGGCAGGGCGGGAGGGCCUGGGAAAGCGGAGUGAGGGAGCCCCUGGCAGGCUUGUGUCAAGGCAGGGACAGGUGCCUUCCUCAGGGCCCAAGUGACUGGUUUUACCUCCUCUCUCACCGUCAAGUCCAUGGGUGGGAGUGGAGGCGGAGGAAGUAGGGGAUGAGCAGAGGAGUUGCCAGACCAGGGACAGCUUGAACCCGGAGUCCACUGACGGGUUGUGGGGCUGAGAAAGGAGAGACGGGGACAGGAACAGCACGGAGUGCCAGCGGGAGGCCAGAGUGUCAGGGACAGGAGUGGAGUGACCUUGGGGGUGAUGGGGUGGAGCUGUGUGCUGGGCGCCCUGUCUAUCCACCCCACCAUCUGGGGCCUCAGGGGCCCGGGGCCACCAUCUGACUGUGGUCCUGGUCAUUGCUUUCACCCCUCCUUGCCCCUCCCUCAUAUCCUGCCCAAAGCCUUCUUCCUCCACAAAGCUUAAGGUUUACUUAUUGAAAUUAGCCCGUCUUUUUCUUCAUGGCUUCUGGGUUUUGUAACGUACCGAGGAAGGGCUUCCCUACCCAAGAUUCUGAAAGUGUUUCCUUUUAGCGCUCACCGUUCUCUUCUCUUCCUUCUGUCCUCUGCCUGUUCCUGCCCCACUUCCCAUGAUUAUCAUGCCUUUGUUUGUUUGUUUUUUGAAGGAGUCUCCCACUGUUGCCCGGGCUGGAGUAUAGUGGCGCAAUCACAAUCUCGCAAUCUCGGCUCACUGCAACCUCCACCUACUGGGUUCAAAUGAUUCUCCUGCCUCAGCCUCCCGAGUAGCUGGGAUUACAGGUGCCCGCCACCAGGCCGGGUUAAGUUUUUGUAUUUUUAGUAGAGACGGGGUUUCACUAUGUUGGCCAGGCUGGUCUUGAACUCCUGACCUUGUGAUCACCCGCCUCAGUCUCCCAAAGUGCUGGGAUUACAGGUAUGAGCCACCGCGUCUGGCCUGUUUGUGGGAUUACAGGCAUGAGCCAUCUGUUUGUUGUUUCUCAUCUCCCACCGGCAGAGAGGUUCCUUGAAUAUCCCCAGCACUUAGAUAGUGCCUGGUGUAUGGGAGGUGAGCAAUACAUCAUAUUGAAUGUGGGACCAGGAUGUAUGCCCAGGUCCCAGACCCAAGACGGAGAAGGUGUUUAGCAGAGAAAUUGUUCUGUAGCUGUGCAAAUUGAGGCUGAUAGCAGCAAUCCCAGAACAUAUCUGUUGAGUACUUACCUGUACGUUCAGGUAAAUCACCUGCCCCAGCCCAGUCUCCUGCUCCCUCCCCGAACAUUCUCCCCUUACCUGUCCAGGGGCCUCUGCUCCAAGUGGGCGGGCCUCCUCCAGCCUGGAGUCCCUUCUGUCACCUCUCCUCACAGCCCACACACUCCCCCAUAGCUCCCCACUAAUCUCUCUCCUCCCUAACUAGGGGUGGAUGCAGGAACGUUGGCAUCCAUUCAACAAAGGCCUGUUGGGUUCUAGCGGUGCUCAGAGCUGGGGUGCAGUGAUGGGGGAGACAUGUCCCCUCCAGAGCGUCACAGAAGGCAGGCGACAUACUCCACUCUUCCCACCAUAACUACCAUCCAGCCCACUGAAGACCACCAUGAGGACGUACCAAACAGGACCCUCCAGCCUGCCCAGGUGCAAGACCCUGCUGGGCCUGGGUGAGGUGAGAUGCACCAGUGCCAGCUCCAAUCUGCCCUUGCCAAACGCUGUUCCAAAUUGGCUCCGUGAAACCAGAACCGUGAAAUCCCAUCAGGACAGCUGGAGGUAAGCACAGCGGUGGAAGGAUUUAGACCACGUCGAAACGGCUCAUGGACAAGAGGGUGAGAACCCGUGGACUCCUGGGCAAAGGCACCAUCGGGAACAUUAAGAAAGCAAUCCCACCUCAAACCCACAACCAAAAUAUUUUAUAAGAACCCUCCCUUCCCCCCCCCCACUCUCUUUUUGUCAAGUAAAGGAUACACACGGCCUUUCUACUUGUAACCUGGCCAAGAAUAAUUUGUGGCAGGAAAGUUUGAGCAUUUGUCAAAAUAAAAUAAAAAUGUAAAAAAAAAAA
Pan troglodytes (chimpanzee) is the source of this 4049-nucleotide long non-coding RNA. RefSeq lists it as uncharacterized. The record is from RefSeq and is a predicted model, not a curated record. NCBI's taxonomy places the organism in Eukaryota, Metazoa, Chordata, Mammalia, Primates, Hominidae. The transcript has 6 exons.